This 487-nucleotide ribosomal RNA is filed under the name uncultured bacterium. RNAcentral's name for it is "partial 16S ribosomal RNA". It matches the Rfam family "Bacterial small subunit ribosomal RNA", at positions 899 to 1397 of the family's 1533-position model. The record is from RNAcentral.
ACUCAAAUGAAUUGACGGGGACCCGCACAAGCGGUGGAGCGUGUGGUUUAAUUCGACGCUAAGCGAAGAACCUUACCAAGGCUUGACAUCUCGGGAAUCCCACCGAAAGGCGGGAGUGCCAUUUUGGAAUCCGAUGACAGGUGAUGCAUGGUCGUCGUCAGCUCGUGUUGUGAAAUGUUGGGUUAAGUCCCGCAACGAGCGCAACCCUUAUCGUGUGUUGGAUUUUUCACACGAGACUGCCUCGGUUAACGAGGAGGAAGGUGGGGAUGAAGUCAGAUCAGCAUGUCCCUUAUGCCUUGGGCGACACACGCGCUACAAUGGCCGGUACAAUGGGUCGCGAACCCGCAAGGUGGAGCUAAUCCCAUCAAAACCGGUCUCAGUUCGGAUUGGAGUCUGCAACUCGACUCCAUGAAGCCGGAAUCGCUAGUAAACGCGGAUCAGCCAUGCUGCGUUGAAUACGUUCUCGGGUCUUGUACACACCGCCCGU